RNAcentral lists this unclassified non-coding RNA (159 nucleotides) under uncultured fungus. RNAcentral describes it as "sequence contains ITS2". Lineage: Eukaryota; Fungi. The record is from RNAcentral. RNAcentral also lists the same sequence under 1 other name.
AGACUCAAUCCCUCGGGUUUCCGAGGAGAUUGGACUUGGGUGUUGCCGCUUUGCCGGCUCGCCUUAAAAGACUUAGCGGGAUAGCACCGUAGCUGGCGUAAUAAGUUUCGUCGGUGAAGGUUGUGAUGACUGCUUACAAUCGCCCUCGGGCAAUUUUGA